Long non-coding RNA from Trifolium pratense (red clover), 317 nucleotides. RefSeq lists it as uncharacterized. The transcript is spliced from 4 exons. NCBI's taxonomy places the organism in Eukaryota, Viridiplantae, Streptophyta, Magnoliopsida, Fabales, Fabaceae. The record is from RefSeq and is a predicted model, not a curated record.
UGGGGUGCCACAGUAAUAACAGAUAAAACACAACUGUGGAACAUGGUGAGAAGAGAAAUAUUAUCUCAAAGGACGACUAGGAAUAUCCAAAAUGUUGCAGCAAGUAUUAGUAACCAUUCACACAAAUCUUUUAAAUUAAAGCAAGACAUCUCCAUUCUUCAGUUUUUCAAGAGUAAACAGUUCAUUGAUAAAGCAAUAUAUGGAGAACUGGUGAGAAUAUUUGCAAGAAUACUUGAGUAAAUCCAAUGAACUACUUAGGAAUUGAAUUUUCAAAAUGACUAUGUCAGCAAGAGAGUGACUGAAUUAGUCAAUAGCAG